This 915-nucleotide ribosomal RNA is filed under the name uncultured archaeon. RNAcentral describes it as "bacterial SSU rRNA". It matches the Rfam family "Archaeal small subunit ribosomal RNA", at positions 1 to 923 of the family's 1478-position model. The record is from RNAcentral.
UUCCGGUUGAUCCUGCCGGACCUGACUGCUAUCGGAUUGAUACUAAGCCAUGCGAGUCAUUGUAGCAAUACAAGGCAGACGGCUCAGUAACGCGUAGUCAACCUAACCUAUGGACGGGAAUAACCUCGGGAAACUGAGAAUAAUGCCCGAUAGAACACUAUAUCUGGAAUGGUUUGUGUUCCAAAUGAUUUAUCGCCGUAGGAUGGGACUGCGGCCUAUCAGUUUGUUGGUGAGGUAAUGGCCCACCAAGACUAUUACAGGUACGGGCUCUGAGAGGAGUAGCCCGGAGAUGGGUACUGAGACACGGACCCAGGCCCUAUGGGGCGCAGCAGGCGAGAAAACUUUGCAAUGUGCGAAAGCACGACAAGGUUAAUCCGAGUGGUUUGUGCUAAACAGACCUUUUGUUAGUCCUAGAAACACUAACGAAUAAGGGGUGGGCAAGUUCUGGUGUCAGCCGCCGCGGUAAAACCAGCACCUCAAGUGGUCAGGAUGAUUAUUGGGCCUAAAGCAUCCGUAGCCUGCUUUGUCAGUUUUCGGUUAAAUCUGUAUGCUCAACAUACAGGCUGCCGGGAAUACUGCAGAGCUAGGGAGUGGGAGAGGUAGACGGUGCUCGGUAGGAAGGGGUAAAAUCCUUUGAUCUAUUGAUGACCACCUGUGGCGAAGGCGGUCUACCAGAACACGUCCGACGGUGAGGGAUGAAAGCUGGGGGAGCAAACCGGAUUAGAUACCCGGGUAGUCCCAGCUGUAAACUAUGCAAACUCAGUGAUGCAUUGGCUUGUGGCCAAUGCAGUGCUGCAGGGAAGCCGUUAAGUUUGCCGCCUGGGAAGUACGUACGCAAGUAUGAAACUUAAAGGAAUUGGCGGGGGAGCACCACAAGGGGUGAAGCCUGCGGUUCAAUUGGAGUCAACGCCGGAA